This is a non-coding RNA of Ailuropoda melanoleuca (giant panda), 574 nucleotides long. The record is from the annotation of a RefSeq genome assembly. NCBI's taxonomy places the organism in Eukaryota, Metazoa, Chordata, Mammalia, Carnivora, Ursidae.
GGGCUCUGGCUGAUUUGCAUAACCACCAGUUGUCUCCAGCAAGGGGAUAAGAGAGACCUGGGAGGAACCCUGCUCAGCCUUGGGCCUUAGGGAGCAAAAUCGAGGCACCAGCACCAUGGCCUGGACACCUCUCCUCCUCGGAUUCCUGGCUCACUGCACAGGUUCCAUGGCCUCCUAUGUGCUGACUCAGCCCCCCUCGAUGUCGGUGAACCUGGGACAGACCGCCAAGAUCACGUGUGGGGGAAACAGCAUUGGAAGGAAAUAUGCUUCUUGGUACCAGCAGAAGCCAGGCCAGGCCCCAGUGCUGAUUAUCUACCAGAAUAGCAAGCGGCCCUCGGGGAUCCCUGACCGAUUCUCUGGCUCUAACUCAGGGAACACGGCCACCCUGACCAUCAGCGGGGCCCGGGCCGAGGACGAGGCUGACUAUUACUGUCAGACCUAUGACAGCAGUGCUGAUGCUCACGGUGACACGAGCAGAUGGGGAAGUGAGACACAAACCCCUUCCAUGUCUGUCUCACACUCUCCUCCAGCCCCAGGAGGCCUGUGCACAGAGCAGUGAGCAGGUCUGAACCAG